Molecule: RNA transcript, 3095 nt
Organism: Ananas comosus (pineapple)
Lineage: Eukaryota; Viridiplantae; Streptophyta; Magnoliopsida; Poales; Bromeliaceae
Exons: 4
Source: RefSeq, a predicted model, not a curated record
UUUCUUUUUCUUUUUCUUUUUCUUCAUCCGGGGUCCAAAACACCACUGCGUAGUAACGCAUUUUUUUAAUUUUGUUGUUUGAGUUUAAUACAUAUUUGUGUUGAUAAAAGAUAUUUGAACAACAAUUAUGGUCAUGUAUGCAUAGUGAGAUUUGAAUUUGGUUACAAAAGUUUUAACUCUAAUUCAGUGUGAGGAUAGGAUUUACAGGGGAUGGAAUGGAUAUUUCUAUAUGAAUCCUUAUUAUAUGUACCUGGAUGUGGAACAUAAAUCUCCUAUCAAGCAAACCUUUGAUUGAUUAGACAUAUUAUCUGAUCCAUCAUCAAGUGGUCAUGCCUAAUAAACUGUCAAGCACUACAAUAUAUCUCAUUAGGGUCCAUCUGUUAGGUGUUAAGUCGAAUUAGAGCUAAGAUCAUGAAGCUAGAAGCCAAAAACUUUGGUUGGGUCAAUUUGCAGAAGAAAUAAUCUUACGGCCAAACCAUAAAAUCUUCUGCUUCAGAAGCCACAAGAUAAGCAGAGAUUUGAACAGAUGGUGAAGGAAAAGCAAGUCAUUAGAUGUCCCCAGAAUGAGAGAAGCACCAUGCGAAGGUAAAUAAAAAGGAAAGACAUCUAAAAGCUAUCCAUCUACCUUGUAUGUAUCACUUUCUUUGCUCCUACUUGUCUACUUGUUUAAGGCAAAUUUGCAGAAAACAAUACUUUUUGGCAGCUUUAAGUAAGACAACUAAGCAAGAAUAUAUUACCAUAUAUAACUCUGCACUAGAGAGAGAGAGAAUACAAGCAUUAGCCAUUAAGGACCUUAAGAGAGCUAAACCAAUAAUACAGCAUUGCGUUUCAACUUUUUUUCUUGUAGAGAGAAAAGCAUCACAUUUUAACUCUUGGUGAUGCAUUUAUGCAAUGAAAAUUCCCCAGACAAAAAAUAUAUGUAUAUCAGUGUUUAUUUUUGCCAUUUGAAAAUUUCUGCAAUUUACGACAUUUAUAUUCCGCAAUUAGGACAUACUAUAUUGUGAAUUGCUAUUUCUGUUGCAAAAGAAAGAUGUAUAGCACAUGUUUAUAAGAGAAUAGAUUGAGAGAGAUAUCCCCAAUCAUGGAUGAGAGAUUCGUGAGCGAAAUAUGAGACGACAAGCUUAAUAGAUGCAAUGAAUUUGAUAAUUCAAUGAAAAGGACAGCUUCUUCAGAUAUUAGAGAAGGAAUGUAUCAUACAUGAAAAGAGUACAAGGAGAACAAACCAUUUCAAAAUUAACAUGUGGUGAGGAAAGUGGAGACAUAUAAAUUAUUCGGAUACAAUCGAUGUUGAAACGGAAGACACUGACCAUAUAUCUCCAUGGUCUCUUUUCGCAUUUCGAAUCUCCAAUAAUCGGAGGAUUUUUUUUUUUUCCUUUAAAUAUCUCUCAUUUACUGAAUAAGAGAUUAGAGUUAUCUUCUCUAUCUUAUGCUUUGCUAUAACACAAUCCAAGAUGAUUCUGUUUUACUUCUACAUGCGCCAAAAACAAAACCGUUUUGCUGCUUUUGUUGCAGUAGAUUUAUUGCUUCUGUUGUUGCCACUUCAGUGAGCUACUACAUUUUUAUGUUUGAUUAUGAUGGAUACUACAAACAGAAUUUGCAUAAAAAUGAAGGGGUAUGAUUGUUACUGGAUCUACCAUAAUGCUGUAUAGUAGUGACAAAUAUUACAAACAAAGUAGUAAUCUUGAUUGUAUUAAUUAAAUCGACCGUAAUGAAUCGGAAUGAUGGACUCAAAAGUUAGCUGUUGGGUGGGGUUGGAUGUUACUGCAACUUUAAAGAGAGAGAUGCCGAUGAUUGUGGCAUGGGGGCCAAGAAAGAGAAGGAAAUGAUGCUCUGAUCUAUUACAGCACACAUCAGAGAGGCCCACCCUACACCAUGCAUGAGCAUCCAAGAGCCACCACCUUGUUCAACAGUUUGAAAGAGUACACCCAAAAGAACGUAGGCUGAUACUGGAGGGCUUUUUUCUGGAAAGGGAGGAGCAUUGUAGCUGGGGGACAUUGCUUGGUGAGCGGGAAAAUAGUAUGUCGGAGCAAAAAAGAGGGGGGCGGGCCUAGGAGUCAAGGACUUAGAAGCAACAAACGCUGCUUUACUAGCAAAGUGGUGGUGGAGGUUUCUCUCAGAUAAGCCCUCGCAAUAGGGCGGUUUUAUCGGAGGUGUUUGCUGUUCUAGAAGGAAACCCCUUAGGGAAGGAGUGUCCUUUAGACCUUUCUCCCAGUGAUAGUGAAGUGUACUACAGAUCAAGCAUAUCUUCAUAUGUGGUAUUUCUUAUACAAUAGAAGACGGUAGUAGUGUAUCUUCAUAUGUGGUAUUUCUUAUACAAUAGAAGACGGUAGUAGUGUCAGUUUUUGGAUGGAUAGAUGGAGUGGCCAAAUGUCCCUGCAGUCACUCUUUCCUAGAAUUUUUAACGAGGUAGCAUCAAAAAAUCAUAGGGUUAGAGAUUGUUUUGGAAGGAACGGUUGGAGAUGGCAUAAGAUUCUACAGGGCUUUGCUCCAGGAUCUCAAUCCGAUAGUGAAUCAAUAUUGGAGUUGAAGGAGCUACAAGCCAACAUUACUUUCACGGACAACCGAGAUGAAGCCGGAUGGAGAUGGAAUUUAACAGAAAUAUUUACGGUUAAUUCAGUUGUCCACGAAAGGAGGUUCAUUCAGUUGAGGAAAACCAAAACUCCCUUGAAAGUUAAAAUUUUUGGGUAGCUGGUACUGAAGCAUAGGGUACCAACAAGAGAUAAUCUGUCGAAAAGGGGACGGUCAGGAGAGGUGUGUUGUGUGCUUUGUAUGGAAGAACUUGAGACGUCGACCAUCUUUUCGCUAGUUGUUGUUUCUCAAAAGCAUUGUUGGAGUGCUUUCUACCAAAUAAGCAAUUCCUGAGUACCUGUUCUUCAACCGGCGCGCUCUGGAAUGCUAGCAACGUUAAGUAGGGCACUGUAGGGAGAAGGGAAUUAUCAACCAUCGUUACUGUCUGCCAUGGUUGGAGCGGAAUAGAAAAAUCUUCGAUAAUAGAAAACUAACGUUGAGACAACUAUCGGUGGAUUUACGAUCUUGUAGGAACCUUUAGAAGCUGCAUUGCAAUUAUUAUUAUUAUUAUUUUUUUAACUUACGAA